GGCAACUUGGCGGAGUGGUUAACGCGAUUGACUCGAAUUCCUGGGUAUCCAGGUGUCUAUCAAUUUCCUUCGGGAGCGCAUGUUCGAAUCAUGCAGUUGUCG
This is a transfer RNA of 102 nucleotides. It matches the Rfam family "tRNA". From Rfam's summary of the family: Transfer RNA (tRNA) molecules are approximately 80 nucleotides in length. Their secondary structure includes four short double-helical elements and three loops (D, anti-codon, and T loops). The record is from Rfam.